This 484-nucleotide ribosomal RNA is filed under the name uncultured bacterium. Its description in RNAcentral is "partial 16S ribosomal RNA". It matches the Rfam family "Bacterial small subunit ribosomal RNA", at positions 28 to 507 of the family's 1533-position model. The record is from RNAcentral.
AGUGAACGCUGGCGGCAUGCUUUACACAUGCAAGUCGAACGGCAGCGCGGGCUUCGGCUUGGCGUCGAGUGGCGAACGGGCGAGUAAUACAUCGAAACGUGCCCAGCUGCUGUGGAGAGCGCGGCGACAGCCGGAAACAUACCGCAAAAGAGCAGAGGACGAACGCGGGGGAGCUUCGGACCUCGCGCUCUUGCAGGGGCCGAUGGGAGAUUAGCGAGUUGGUGGGGUAAAGGCCUACCCAGGCGACGAUCUGUAGCUGGGCUGCGAGGACGAACCGCCACACUUGGACUGGGACACGGCCCCGACCCCUACGGGAGGCCGCCGUGGGGAAUUUUGGACAAUGGGCGGAAGCCUUGUCCAGCACUGCCGCGGUGGGUGUGAAGGCCUUCGGGUUUUAAAACCCCUUUGGCGGGGACAAAAAGGACUGUGCCAAUACCACGGUUGGAUGACCGUACCCCCAGAAUAAGCCCCGGCUUACUACGUU